This 484-nucleotide ribosomal RNA is filed under the name uncultured bacterium. RNAcentral's name for it is "partial 16S ribosomal RNA". It matches the Rfam family "Bacterial small subunit ribosomal RNA", at positions 30 to 507 of the family's 1533-position model. The record is from RNAcentral.
AUUGAACGCUGGCGGCAGGCCUAACACAUGCAAGUCGAGCGGAUGAAGGGAGCUUGCUCCUGGAUUCAGCGGCGGACGGGUGAGUAAUGCCUAGGAAUCUGCCUGGUAGUGGGGGAUAACGUCCGGAAACGGGCGCUAAUACCGCAUACGUCCUGAGGGAGAAAGUGGGGGAUCUUCGGACCUCACGCUAUCAGAUGAGCCUAGGUCGGAUUAGCUAGUUGGUGGGGUAAAGGCCUACCAAGGCGACGAUCCGUAACUGGUCUGAGAGGAUGAUCAGUCACACUGGAACUUAGACACGGUCCAGAAUCCUACGGGAGGCAGCAGUGGGGAAUAUUGGACAAUGGGCGAAAGCCUGAUCCAGCCAUGCCGCGGGUGUGAAGAAGGUCUUCGGAUUGUAAAGCACUUUAAGUUGGGAGGAAGGGCAGUAAGUUAAUACCUUGCUGUUUUGACGUUACCAACAGAAUAAGCACCGGCUAACUUCGUG